CGAUGAUCCGGUGCUUGCACCGGGGAUUAGUGGCGAACGGGUGAGUAACACGUGAGUAACCUGCCCUUGACUCUGGGAUAAGCCUGGGAAACUGGGUCUAAUACCGGAUAUGACUCCUCAUCGCAUGGUGGGGGGUGGAAAGCUUUUGUGGUUUUGGAUGGACUCGCGGCCUAUCAGCUUGUUGGUGAGGUAAUGGCUCACCAAGGCGACGACGGGUAGCCGGCCUGAGAGGGUGACCGGCCACACUGGGACUGAGACACGGCCCAGACUCCUACGGGAGGCAGCAGUGGGGAAUAUUGCACAAUGGGCGCAAGCCUGAUGCAGCGACGCCGCGUGAGGGAUGACGGCCUUCGGGUUGUAAACCUCUUUCAGUAGGGAAGAAGCGAAAGUGACGGUACCUGCAGAAGAAGCGCCGGCUAACUACGUGCCAGCAGCCGCGGUAAUACGUAGGGCGCAAGCGUUAUCCGGAAUUAUUGGGCGUAAAGAGCUCGUAGGCGGUUUGUCGCGUCUGCCGUGAAAGUCCGGGGCUCAACUCCGGAUCUGCGGUGGGUACGGGCAGACUAGAGUGAUGUAAGGGAGACUGGAAUUCCUGGUGUAGCGGU
This 602-nucleotide ribosomal RNA is filed under the name bacterium 94-L049659-122-016-F12. RNAcentral's name for it is "bacterial SSU rRNA". It matches the Rfam family "Bacterial small subunit ribosomal RNA", at positions 67 to 682 of the family's 1533-position model. The record is from RNAcentral.